This 253-nucleotide ribosomal RNA is filed under the name uncultured bacterium. RNAcentral's name for it is "partial 16S ribosomal RNA". It matches the Rfam family "Bacterial small subunit ribosomal RNA", at positions 524 to 776 of the family's 1533-position model. The record is from RNAcentral.
UACAGAGGUCUCGAGCGUUAGGCGGAAUCACUGGGCUUAAAGCGUGUGUAGGCGGACUUCUAAGUACCUUGUGAAAUCCCACGGCUUACCCGUGGAACUGCUCGGUAUACUGGUUGUCUUGAGCCACCUAGGGGCGAGUGGAACAAAUGGUGGGGCGGUGAAAUGCGUAGAUAUCAUUUGGAACGCCAAUGGUGAAAACAACUCGCUGGGGGUGUGCUGACGCUGAGACACGAAAGCCAGGGGAGCGAACGGG